Molecule: ribosomal RNA, 482 nt
Filed under: uncultured bacterium
Lineage: Bacteria
Description: bacterial SSU rRNA
Rfam family: Bacterial small subunit ribosomal RNA
Source: RNAcentral
GAUCAUGGCUCAGAAUGAACGCUGGCGGCAUGGAUUAGGCAUGCAAGUCGAACGUACUCCCUUCGGGGAGAAAGUGGCGAAAGGGUGAGUAACACGUGAGCAACCUGCCUCCGGAUCCGGAAUAAUCCAGGGAAACUUGGUCUAAAACCGGAUGAAGACAUUGGUCCGCAUGGUCUAAUGUUAAAAUAUUUAUAGUCCGGAGAGGGGCUCGCGGCCCAUUAGCUUGUUGGCGGGGUAAUGGCCCACCAAGGCUACGACGGGUAGGUGGUCUGAGAGGAUGGUCACCCACACUGGGACUGAGACACUGCCCAGACUCCUACGGGAGGCUGCAGUCGAGAAUCUUCCGCAAUGGGCGCAAAGCCUGACGGAGCGAUGCCGCGUGAGGGAUGAAGGCCUUCGGGUUGUAAACCUCUGUCAUCCGGGACGAAAACAAUGACGGUACCGGAAAAGGAAGCCACGGCUAACCACGUGCCAGCAGCCGC